AUGCACAUUCUCAUGUACACCCACACUAACACAUACGUGGGGAAGGAAGGCAGCCUCACAGGAGCCUUCCAGCUCCAGCCUCAGGGCAGCAGGGAGGUCCCCCAGAGCCCGGCUCAGCCCAGCCAGCUGCACACCCUCCCACCCACCAUCGAGGCGCUGGCCACGGGCACAGAGCGGCGAGGAUGGGCAGCCGUGACGAGCUUCCGGCUGAGAGGGUGUCGGGAAAUUGCCACGCCCUUCGUGUUCAGAACGUUGCCUGUGUGCAGCGAGGGCGCCUGGCCUUGGGCUGAGCCUCGCGGGCGUCACCAGCACCCUCCUAGGGGCACGUUAGCAGGCAGCUGGAUCAGAAGUGGAGCUGCUGGGACUUUAACUGACACUCACUUGGGAUGCCGGCAUCAUGGCUGGCAACUUAACCAGCUGCACCACAAGGCCAGCCCAGAGUAUCUACGUGUCUCUGAGCACUGUGCACACAGCAGUGAACAAGACAGGCCAUUCGCCUCAAGCAUCCAUUCAGGAAGGGGAAACAGAGAGGGUGAACAAAAUGCGUCCCCGAGCUGGUGUCUGAGAGCGCUUUCAGGAAAAAAAAGAAAACAGGAAAAAAGCAUCCAAGGCCCCAACCUCCAUGUAAGCGGAUCCCGAGGAGCCUGUGGCCGUGGGCUCAGAACGACUUCACUGAACACGGUGGUGAGGGUGAGCAGCUCCAGGCCAGGCCAGCGCCAGACGUGGGCUUUCCAGCCGACCAAGAUGUCACCGUCUCUGGAAACAGUUGACUAAGGAGUCCCAAACCUCCAACAGCAUCUGAGCUCAUCUGCAGGUCUGCCACCUGGCUGGGAGGACCCCGGGGUGGCCCAGUGCUUGGAGGACAUCCCCCAGACCUGAGGACCAGCACCCAACACAGACAAUCAGCUGGGGUCUCCUGGGAGGCCCCACAGCCAGCAGAUCUGCUUCAUAUGCCAACUGCACCACUCCUGUAGGGGCUUCAGGCAAAACAGUCCUCAGUUUCCCCAACCGGCAAACAGGUUCAUUCAUCGCUGUCUUCUCAGGCCUCCAGCCUGGAUUUGUUCUAGCAUCAAAGAGGAUGUAUCUGGGCUGCUUUGUAAUGUGAGAGUUGUGUUCAGAACGUGGGAAAGCUCAGCAGAGUACAGCGAGGGACCAGGCUAGCUCACUACUCAGGUGAGACACAGAGGAUAACGAGCCACACCCAGACGACCGAUGAGAGAUUGGAAUAUGUAGUAUUGGGAAUGGUAGUGCUGAAUUAAAGGUAACUGUCAUUG
Molecule: non-coding RNA, 1274 nt
Organism: Oryctolagus cuniculus (rabbit)
Lineage: Eukaryota; Metazoa; Chordata; Mammalia; Lagomorpha; Leporidae
Source: RefSeq, a predicted model, not a curated record